This 387-nucleotide long non-coding RNA is filed under the name Physcomitrium patens. RNAcentral describes it as "long non-coding RNA (PPAT_LNC007906)". Lineage: Eukaryota; Viridiplantae; Streptophyta; Bryopsida; Funariales; Funariaceae. The record is from RNAcentral.
CAAUGCUUUCAUACCCAACUUCAACAUUGACAAUCUUUGAUGGUAGGAGUAAAUUGGGGUGCAGGUGGUUGGGAAAAACAAAUCAUGAAGGGGCAGUUCAUACUAAGAGGCUCAAGGUGAGAGGUUUUAAUUUUUAAAUGUUUGGAUUGGGUAAAAUCUAGAAGAAUUUUUAAGUUGGUGUUGAGCUUUGAAAAAAAUAAGUCUAAAAGUCUCUAGUGGGAAAACAAAUGAGGUGGUGUGUUCUUUUAUCCUACUUGGUAUAAAUAGUGUUGUCUUUUGGAUUUUGCAUUUGGCAUGUGUUGAAGAGAUGGCUUCUGGAGGAAAAAAAAAAAAUGAAAAGUCUUGUAAAAUUAAACACAUUUAAAAUAGAGAGUAAGAAAUUUUAAA